This 2928-nucleotide ribosomal RNA is filed under the name Staphylococcus aureus. RNAcentral's name for it is "bacterial LSU rRNA". It matches the Rfam family "Bacterial large subunit ribosomal RNA". Lineage: Bacteria; Bacillati; Bacillota; Bacilli; Caryophanales; Staphylococcaceae. The record is from RNAcentral.
UUAAGUUAUUAAGGGCGCACGGUGGAUGCCUUGGCACUAGAAGCCGAUGAAGGACGUUACUAACGACGAUAUGCUUUGGGGAGCUGUAAGUAAGCUUUGAUCCAGAGAUUUCCGAAUGGGGAAACCCAGCAUGAGUUAUGUCAUGUUAUCGAUAUGUGAAUACAUAGCAUAUCAGAAGGCACACCCGGAGAACUGAAACAUCUUAGUACCCGGAGGAAGAGAAAGAAAAUUCGAUUCCCUUAGUAGCGGCGAGCGAAACGGGAAGAGCCCAAACCAACAAGCUUGCUUGUUGGGGUUGUAGGACACUCUAUACGGAGUUACAAAGGACGACAUUAGACGAAUCAUCUGGAAAGAUGAAUCAAAGAAGGUAAUAAUCCUGUAGUCGAAAAUGUUGUCUCUCUUGAGUGGAUCCUGAGUACGACGGAGCACGUGAAAUUCCGUCGGAAUCUGGGAGGACCAUCUCCUAAGGCUAAAUACUCUCUAGUGACCGAUAGUGAACCAGUACCGUGAGGGAAAGGUGAAAAGCACCCCGGAAGGGGAGUGAAAUAGAACCUGAAACCGUGUGCUUACAAGUAGUCAGAGCCCGUUAAUGGGUGAUGGCGUGCCUUUUGUAGAAUGAACCGGCGAGUUACGAUUUGAUGCAAGGUUAAGCAGUAAAUGUGGAGCCGUAGCGAAAGCGAGUCUGAAUAGGGCGUUUAGUAUUUGGUCGUAGACCCGAAACCAGGUGAUCUACCCUUGGUCAGGUUGAAGUUCAGGUAACACUGAAUGGAGGACCGAACCGACUUACGUUGAAAAGUGAGCGGAUGAACUGAGGGUAGCGGAGAAAUUCCAAUCGAACCUGGAGAUAGCUGGUUCUCUCCGAAAUAGCUUUAGGGCUAGCCUCAAGUGAUGAUUAUUGGAGGUAGAGCACUGUUUGGACGAGGGGCCCCUCUCGGGUUACCGAAUUCAGACAAACUCCGAAUGCCAAUUAAUUUAACUUGGGAGUCAGAACAUGGGUGAUAAGGUCCGUGUUCGAAAGGGAAACAGCCCAGACCACCAGCUAAGGUCCCAAAAUAUAUGUUAAGUGGAAAAGGAUGUGGCGUUGCCCAGACAACUAGGAUGUUGGCUUAGAAGCAGCCAUCAUUUAAAGAGUGCGUAAUAGCUCACUAGUCGAGUGACACUGCGCCGAAAAUGUACCGGGGCUAAACAUAUUACCGAAGCUGUGGAUUGUCCUUUGGACAAUGGUAGGAGAGCGUUCUAAGGGCGUUGAAGCAUGAUCGUAAGGACAUGUGGAGCGCUUAGAAGUGAGAAUGCCGGUGUGAGUAGCGAAAGACGGGUGAGAAUCCCGUCCACCGAUUGACUAAGGUUUCCAGAGGAAGGCUCGUCCGCUCUGGGUUAGUCGGGUCCUAAGCUGAGGCCGACAGGCGUAGGCGAUGGAUAACAGGUUGAUAUUCCUGUACCACCUAUAAUCGUUUUAAUCGAUGGGGGGNGGGGGGACGCAGUAGGAUAGGCGAAGCGUGCGAUUGGAUUGCACGUCUAAGCAGUAAGGCUGAGUAUUAGGCAAAUCCGGUACUCAUUAAGGCUGAGCUGUGAUGGGGAGAAGACAUUGUGUCUUCGAGUCGUUGAUUUCACACUGCCGAGAAAAGCCUCUAGAUAGAAAAUAGGUGCCCGUACCGCAAACCGACACAGGUAGUCAAGAUGAGAAUUCUAAGGUGAGCGAGCGAACUCUCGUUAAGGAACUCGGCAAAAUGACCCCGUAACUUCGGGAGAAGGGGUGCUCUUUAGGGUUAACGCCCAGAAGAGCCGCAGUGAAUAGGCCCAAGCGACUGUUUAUCAAAAACACAGGUCUCUGCUAAACCGUAAGGUGAUGUAUAGGGGCUGACGCCUGCCCGGUGCUGGAAGGUUAAGAGGAGUGGUUAGCUUCUGCGAAGCUACGAAUCGAAGCCCCAGUAAACGGCGGCCGUAACUAUAACGGUCCUAAGGUAGCGAAAUUCCUUGUCGGGUAAGUUCCGACCCGCACGAAAGGCGUAACGAUUUGGGCACUGUCUCAACGAGAGACUCGGUGAAAUCAUAGUACCUGUGAAGAUGCAGGUUACCCGCGACAGGACGGAAAGACCCCGUGGAGCUUUACUGUAGCCUGAUAUUGAAAUUCGGCACAGCUUGUACAGGAUAGGUAGGAGCCUUUGAAACGUGAGCGCUAGCUUACGUGGAGGCGCUGGUGGGAUACUACCCUAGCUGUGUUGGCUUUCUAACCCGCACCACUUAUCGUGGUGGGAGACAGUGUCAGGCGGGCAGUUUGACUGGGGCGGUCGCCUCCUAAAAGGUAACGGAGGCGCUCAAAGGUUCCCUCAGAAUGGUUGGAAAUCAUUCAUAGAGUGUAAAGGCAUAAGGGAGCUUGACUGCGAGACCUACAAGUCGAGCAGGGUCGAAAGACGGACUUAGUGAUCCGGUGGUUCCGCAUGGAAGGGCCAUCGCUCAACGGAUAAAAGCUACCCCGGGGAUAACAGGCUUAUCUCCCCCAAGAGUUCACAUCGACGGGGAGGUUUGGCACCUCGAUGUCGGCUCAUCGCAUCCUGGGGCUGUAGUCGGUCCCAAGGGUUGGGCUGUUCGCCCAUUAAAGCGGUACGCGAGCUGGGUUCAGAACGUCGUGAGACAGUUCGGUCCCUAUCCGUCGUGGGCGUAGGAAAUUUGAGAGGAGCUGUCCUUAGUACGAGAGGACCGGGAUGGACAUACCUCUGGUGUACCAGUUGUCGUGCCAACGGCAUAGCUGGGUAGCUAUGUGUGGACGGGAUAAGUGCUGAAAGCAUCUAAGCAUGAAGCCCCCCUCAAGAUGAGAUUUCCCAACUUCGGUUAUAAGAUCCCUCAAAGAUGAUGAGGUUAAUAGGUUCGAGGUGGAAGCAUGGUGACAUGUGGAGCUGACGAAUACUAAUCGAUCGAAGACUUAAUCAA